Molecule: ribosomal RNA, 737 nt
Filed under: uncultured Corynebacterium sp.
Lineage: Bacteria; Bacillati; Actinomycetota; Actinomycetes; Mycobacteriales; Corynebacteriaceae
Description: bacterial SSU rRNA
Rfam family: Bacterial small subunit ribosomal RNA
Source: RNAcentral
GACGAACGCUGGCGGCGUGCUUAACACAUGCAAGUCGAACGGAAAGGCCUGCAGCUUGCUGCGGGUACUCGAGUGGCGAACGGGUGAGUAACACGUGGGUGAUCUGCCUUGCACUUCGGGAUAAGCUUGGGAAACUGGGUCUAAUACCGGAUAGGACAGCUGUUUAGUGUCAGUUGUGGAAAGUUUUUUCGGUGCAAGAUGAGCUCGCGGCCUAUCAGCUUGUUGGUGGGGUAAUGGCCUACCAAGGCGUCGACGGGUAGCCGGCCUGAGAGGGUGUACGGCCACAUUGGGACUGAGAUACGGCCCAGACUCCUACGGGAGGCAGCAGUGGGGAAUAUUGCACAAUGGGCGGAAGCCUGAUGCAGCGACGCCGCGUGGGGGAUGACGGCCUUCGGGUUGUAAACUCCUUUCGACAGGGACGAAGCUUUUGUGACGGUACCUGUAUAAGAAGCACCGGCUAACUACGUGCCAGCAGCCGCGGUAAUACGUAGGGUGCGAGCGUUGUCCGGAAUUACUGGGCGUAAAGAGCUCGUAGGUGGUUUGUCGCGUCGUCUGUGAAAUUCCGGGGCUUAACUCCGGGCGUGCAGGCGAUACGGGCUGACUUGAGUGCUGUAGGGGAGACUGGAAUUCCUGGUGUAGCGGUGAAAUGCGCAGAUAUCAGGAGGAACACCGAUGGCGAAGGCAGGUCUCUGGGCAGUAACUGACGCUGAGGAGCGAAAGCAUGGGUAGCGAACAGG